This 277-nucleotide ribosomal RNA is filed under the name uncultured bacterium. RNAcentral's name for it is "partial 16S ribosomal RNA". It matches the Rfam family "Bacterial small subunit ribosomal RNA", at positions 28 to 303 of the family's 1533-position model. The record is from RNAcentral.
GAUGAACGCUAGCGGCAGGCCUAAUACAUGCAAGCCGAACGGCAAGAUUGAUAGCAAUAUUGAUCCUAGAGUGGCGUAAGGGUGCGUAACACGUAUGCAAUCUACCCUCAACAGGAGGAUAGCUCCCCGAAAGGGGAAUUAAGACUCCAUAAGAUCAUUUGGUGGCAUCAUUGAAUGAUUAAACUUCCAGGGGUUGAGGAUGAGCAUGCGCCNGAUUAGUUAGUUGGCGGGGUAAGGCCCACCAAGACGAUGAUCAGUAGGGGAACUGAGAGGUUGA